Non-coding RNA from Taeniopygia guttata (zebra finch), 3194 nucleotides. Lineage: Eukaryota; Metazoa; Chordata; Aves; Passeriformes; Estrildidae. The record is from RefSeq and is a predicted model, not a curated record.
GGGAACGCGUCCCGCCGGGCGGAGGGGCGGCCGCCUGCCCUGGGCCAGGGGAGUCCCCGGAGGAGGCGGCAGCUCCCGGCCGUGCCUCGGCGCCAUGGGAGCCGGGCUGUGCGCUGGGCCUGUGCCCGCCAGCCGAGCGGGCUGCGGGCGAGGGUUAAGCGCAUCCCGAGAACAACAGCUGCCCUUCUCUCUGCUCCUGCUUCCCCGAAACUUCAGCAGACAUUCCCAUUCCUCACCUUCUUUCCAGUGUUGUCUUAAGCGCCCCUACUCCCAAGAUGGCUUUGUGUACAUUGUAACCUCCCGCAAGGUUUACCUUGUUUUGCUCUCCGUUGUUCUUUCAGCCUUCCUUCGGGAAAAUAAAACCAGAAAUACGUAGGGUGUUUGGACUAGAAACUCAAUCCGCUGUUUGAUUUGAUUCUACAAGCACACAUAUAGUGCAGAUAAUCAAAAUCAAUACACAGCUUUCUUGCUAGUUUAUGCUGACUGAUGCCUGGAAGGGACCUCAUGGGGUUCAGCCAGGGGAACGUUGCAGUUUCCCACAUGAUGUUAUUAGAUGCUCCCUCAGGCUGUCGCAGUUUUUAUGCCAGUUCUGGAUUUAUGAUUUACACAAGACUAUAACAGGGCUGGGAGGCCUGGGCUUAGCCAGCCUUGUGAAAAAAACAGUUAAUUUGUGAUUACUUAGCAUUUCUGAAGCUGUUUUUCUGUGGAAGCUGUUCAGGAGAUGGAUGACUCUAGACUGUGCAACUGAGCAUACACAAGUUUGGUGCUAAGGGGAAGAGGAUUUUAAAUCCUCAUUAUCUUUUUUUCCAGUCACUGAGGCUGAUAGCAAAGCUGGAAGAUGUAAGGAAUGCCAUGGGAAAGAACAUGGAGUUCUAGUGUUUUAUCGGAAAGUUUCUGAAGAUUAAGAAAAUGGUGUUGGACAUUUGGAGAACAAAGCUGCUUUCAAGGGACUACCAUACAUUAAAAGUGGGAGAAAAACAGCAACGACAAAACAAAACAAGGGAAAGAGAAUCAGCAACUUGUGCUUGUGUCCCUACCUCCAACCUGGUGUUAAGAGUACCCGCACAAGAGGAGCCUCACACCACUUCUGCAUAAACCGCUUAUGUAUUUCCACAUUGCCUCCUAGAUUCCUCUGUUCCUUCCUCCCCACUGGUGUCCACUUGCAGACUCUGCUUCUUAUUUGUCUCAACUUCUCCUAGUUCACCCCAGCCCACUUUUAUGGCUGCCCCCCAAUCUACUCCUCAAAUAUUUUUACUCAAAUUUCAUUUUACUUGAGUCUCCUAAUACUUAUAUACAGCUCUCUGCCAUAGCAUUUGAGAUCCUGUUGUUGCCCUGUCUACUCUCUCCCUGCUCCCACACUCGGAUAGAUGCACAUGUACAUCCAUCCUUAUCUCCCUGAGCCACCUUGCUGUAGAUAAUCCUUGCCUGCAGAUCCCUGGCCUUGCCAGAUCUCCUACCAAGGCUCCUCCUCCAGCAGGGCUUUCAAAAUCCUGUAUGUGAGCUGUGCUUAACUAAGAUCCACCCAAAGGGAGACAGGAGAAGAGAAAUGCUGGUGUGUUUAUGAAAAACCCAUGAUAGUGCUACCCAGGCAAUGCCUACUUCUAGACAAAAUACAGAAUAUGGACUUUUGAAAGAUACUGAGUUCUCCAUAGUGAAGACUGCCAAAUGCCUGCUCAAAAUCAAAACUAUAGAGCAAUAGCCACUUGGAAAAUGGUGUUUGUGUGUGUAUGUACAUACUGCCCAUGUAGCACCUGUCAUGAGUUGCUCCUGCCAUGUACAGCACAUAAACAAAAGGCCAGGUAUAGAUAUACGAGAUUUAGCAAAGCUUGAACUACAGCUCCUCACUCAUAGGCAGCAAGGCGACAGCAAGGAGAAACCACAGGCAGCAGGGAAAUGCCAAGCAGCAUCUUGAGAAUCGUCCCAGACACUGAGAACAGUGAAGGGGGCUGCGUGGUGGGAGAGGCCAGCGGCCGGGUUUGUUGAAUGUUGCUGAAGCAGUAGAUGAGCUGGCCCACCACAUAUUUUUGAGGCCAUUCCCAGGACACUACAUCGCCUCAGGGAAAGAAAAGCAGAUUUACAGCUCCUUUGGGAGACACAGCAGCCCCGGGAGUGGAGACUCCGGCCUCUUGCCAAAGUGAACCCAACGAGAUCAUGAGAGCUAAUUCAGCUAAUUCGAGGAUCUCUUCAGCUGCGCGCCUCCCUGCAGGCUCAAAGCACACUCUGAGGAAGUUUUGUUCGAGAGCGGGUUUUGUUUCAGCAAGGCGUUGUGUGUGCGCGGGGAAGAUGGAGGCGGCGCAAGGCUCGCUGGGAGCUGUAGUCCUGCGGCCCCGCGGGCGGAGGUGUCGGGGUCCCCCAGAGAGGAGGAUGCCCUGCCUCGAUCCCUCCUGCGCAGCACUCUGGGGACACCGAGCCUUGGGCUGCCCGGGGAAGGGGGUGCCCGCGGCCAGCCCACCAUUGCUCUGUGCGGAGCCUUCACUGCCCCGCUUCCCUGUGUGCAACCUCAGUUUUACCCGCACGUCUGCUGGUGCCGGGCUUCUCGCUGCACGUCCGCGGGCAAACACAAAGGUGGCAGCAGCCUAAAGACACACCCAGUUAGUCUGGGAAGAUGCAAGAUGCAUACUGUUAGUGGCUGUUGUUUGAAUCAACCCUGCUUUUCAUUGUUUCUCCUGGGAUCGCUGCUCGGGUGCCAGGCGUGUAUCUACCUGGCUAACCUGGAUUGGCGCGGUGCUGAAGGGAAGACACGGCAGCCGAGGGCAGCAGAGACAAGGGAUCUUCCAUGAACUCCAGCACCGACACUGUCACUGCUUCUUGUAAAUCCCGGUGAGACUUCAGUUAUACCUAAGCAAUCAAUAAUUCUUUUAGACCUGCACCGAGUUCUUUAAAAUCCCUCCUUGGUUUUGUUCAGCCUGGAAACGAACAAGCAGACACUUUUAAGCAUUCUGAGAGUAUUUUGGCUUUAUGAGGCUCUCAUCACAUUGGCCACAUUGGAAUCUCUUAAAACUGUGUAACUUUCUUCCUAAACUUUUAUUCAACAGCCAUCAUCUGCAUAUUCUCAACUCUGUUUUGCUUGUUAGAAAGCAAAAUUAUUUGUUCUGGCAUUGAUUAGGGCAAGAUAAUAGAUAACUUUUCUUUUUUGCAGAGUGACAUUCUUCUUUUUUGCCUCCUUGUUUUUUAAAAGUAAUUAUGACCAGGAG